Molecule: microRNA precursor, 77 nt
Filed under: Mustela putorius furo (domestic ferret)
Lineage: Eukaryota; Metazoa; Chordata; Mammalia; Carnivora; Mustelidae
Description: miRNA (ENSMPUG00000022335.1)
Source: RNAcentral
GACUAUCUGUCCUGGUUUGCCUGGGAUUGAGGGGGUUUCCAGGAAUGUGGGACAUUCAGUGCUCAAACUAGGAAGGU